Molecule: ribosomal RNA, 433 nt
Filed under: uncultured bacterium
Lineage: Bacteria
Description: partial 16S ribosomal RNA
Rfam family: Bacterial small subunit ribosomal RNA
Source: RNAcentral
AACGAACGCUGGCGGCAUGCCUAACACAUGCAAGUCGAACGAGACCUUCGGGUCUAGUGGCGCACGGGUGCGUAACGCGUGGGAACCUGCCCUUAGGUUCGGAAUAACUCCCCGAAAGGGGUGCUAAUACCGGAUAAUGUCUUCGGACCAAAGAUUUAUCGCCUUUGGAUGGGCCCGCGUUGGGUUAGCUAGUUGGUAGGGUAAAAGCCUACCAAGGCGACGAUCCAUAGCUGGUCUGAGAGGAUGAUCAGCCACACUGGGACUGAGACACGGCCCAGACUCCUACGGGAGGCAGCAGUGGGGAAUAGUGGACAAUGGGCGAAAGCCUGAUCCAGCAAUGCCGCGUGAGUGAUGAAGGCCUUAGGGUUGUAAAGCUCUUUUACCCGGGAUGAUAAUGACAGUACCGGGAGAAUAAGCUCCGGCUAACUCCGUG